Molecule: long non-coding RNA, 311 nt
Filed under: Homo sapiens (human)
Lineage: Eukaryota; Metazoa; Chordata; Mammalia; Primates; Hominidae
Description: non-protein coding lnc-KCNE1B-12:1
Source: RNAcentral
GUGUCCUGUCCCAUGUGUAGGUGCAGGAGUCAGGUCCAGGACCCAUGAGGCCCUCAGACACUGCCCUCCACAUGUGCUGUGUCUGGAUUCUUUUUUACCAUGGAUACUAUUUGAGCUGAAUCCACCAUCCCCUGGGCAACAGGCUGGAAUGGCUGGGGCACAGUUACUAGAGUCGAUCACCAAGGAAUACACAUCAUGCUCCCUCCACCCAGGUCCAUGUCCCCAUCAACAAUGACUCAACCAAGAGCCAGUUCUCUGUGAAGCUCAGCUCCAUGGCUGCCCAGGACACAGCUGAGUAUUACUGUGAAAGA